CCUUGAUUAUUAUCAAACAAUAAUCAUUGACAGACUGCCCAUCAUGCAUCUUCGCUCUAAAAAGUCUUUGGGAGACCUCAAAGCGAGCUGUGCGAUUCUGUUCACUAUACAACUCUUGCAAGUGACCAACAUCUCCCUGACAGUCCUCAUAUCUUCAUGUUGUUGCUGAAGAUCAUUAGAUAUGGGCGUAAGAUGUAGCACUUUGCCUUGUUAUCUUCGUCCAUCAAUUUCUCAAGUGUAGUUCGUUGAUUAGUGGAUGGAUGAGCAGGUAACGCAGGCACUUCCUGGUCUAGAACAUGGGUAAGCUUUUCAGAAUUGAGAAUAAUUCUCAGAUUUCGGAGUCAGUCUUUGUAAUUUGUGUCGAUCAACCUAUUUGUAUCGAAGAUUCGGACUAAGGGGUUUGAACUCGAUAUGGUUAUUUCCAGAG
This 427-nucleotide long non-coding RNA is filed under the name Elaeis guineensis (African oil palm). Its description in RNAcentral is "long non-coding RNA (EGUI_LNC078517)". The record is from RNAcentral. Lineage: Eukaryota; Viridiplantae; Streptophyta; Magnoliopsida; Arecales; Arecaceae.